Molecule: ribosomal RNA, 1395 nt
Filed under: metagenome
Description: bacterial LSU rRNA
Rfam family: Bacterial large subunit ribosomal RNA
Source: RNAcentral
AAGCCGGUACAAGCGUAUAGCAGUCAUGCAGGCAAAACCGCAUGAAAAAUGUAAAGCGUUAUGUGGAUCGAACAUUAGUAGAGAAGCGUGUGAGCCAGCUGCCAAGAAAAGCCGCUAUUGUUUCAUAAGUACCCGUACCGUAAACCGACACAGGUGGAUGAGGAGAGAAUCCUAAGGCCGGCGGGAGAAGUGUUGUUAAGGAACUCGGCAAAAUGACUCCGUAACUUCGGGAGAAGGAGUGCCACAGAGAUGUGGCCGCAGAGAAAUGGCCCAAGCAACUGUUUAGCAAAAACACAGGUCUAUGCAAAACCGAAAGGUGAGGUAUAUGGGCUGACGCCUGCCCGGUGCUGGAAGGUUAAGAGGAGAGGUUAGAGCAAUCGAAGCUUUGAAUUUAAGCCCCAGUAAACGGCGGCCGUAACGAUAACGGUCCUAAGGUAGCGAAAUUCCUUGUCGGGUAAGUUCCGACCCGCACGAAAGGCGUAAUGAUUUGGGCACUGUCUCAACAACACACCCGGUGAAAUUGAAAUACCAGUGAAGAUGCUGGUUACCUGCGCCAGGACGGAAAGACCCCAUGGAGCUUUACUCCAGUUUGAUACUGGGAUUCGGUACUGUCUGUACAGGAUAGGUGGGAGGCUAGGAAAUGGUGACGCCAGUUGCCAUGGAGCCAACCUAGGGAUACCACCCUUACAGUACUGGGUUUCUAACCUGCAGCCGUAACCCGGCUGGGGGACAAUGUCUGACGGGGAGUUUGACUGGGGCGGUCGCCUCCGAAAGAGUAUCGGAGGCGCUCAAAGGUUCCCUCAGAACGGUUGGAAACCGUUCGAAGAGUGCAAAGGCAGAAGGGAGCUUGACUGCGACACCGACGGGUGGAGCAGAUACGAAAGUAGGACUUAGUGAUCCGGUGUAUAAAGUGGGAUUGCCAUCGCUCAACGGAUAAAAGCUACCCUGGGAUAACAGGCUUAUCACUCCCAAGAGUUCACAUCGACGGAGUGGUUUGGCACCUCGAUGUCGGCUCAUCGCAUCCUGGAGCUGUAGCAGGUUCCAAGGGUUGGGCUGUUCGCCCAUUAAAGCGGUACGCGAGCUGGGUUCAGAACGUUGUGAGACAGUUCGGUCCCUAUCCGGCGUGGGCGUAGGAUAUUUGAGAGGAGCUGUCCUUAGUACGAGAGGACCGGGAUGGACAAACCUCUGGUGUAUCUGUUGUUUUACCAAAGGCAUGGCAGAGUAGCCAAGUUUGGCAGGGAUAAACGCUGAAGGCAUCUAAGCGUGAAGCCCCCCUCAAGAUAAGAUAUCCCAUCUUCGGAGUAAGACACCUUGAAGACUACAAGGUUGAUAGGCUUCAGGUGUAAGUGUGGUAACGCACUCAGCUGAGAAGUACUAAUAGGUCGAGGACUUAGC